This 253-nucleotide long non-coding RNA is filed under the name Elaeis guineensis (African oil palm). Its description in RNAcentral is "long non-coding RNA (EGUI_LNC039968)". Lineage: Eukaryota; Viridiplantae; Streptophyta; Magnoliopsida; Arecales; Arecaceae. The record is from RNAcentral.
ACUUAAUGAAAAAUAGGUCUGUAUCAUAUAGACACCUUUUGGUGCAAUACUUGCAACCUACUUUAAGCCUGUAAGAUAAUUUUUGCAAUUAUUCUUCCAAUAUCCUAACUUACCACAAAAAUAAUAGAUAAUAUCUAUGGGGCAUUCUUUGCCUUCUUAUUAUCAUUUUGACCGAAUCAAGGUCAGGAUUUUUUAGAACAUCGGAGGUCUUCUCCUGUGUGAAUCAAAUUCGCAAGUUUCUUAACUAGUCCAU